This is a small nuclear RNA of Saimiri boliviensis boliviensis (Bolivian squirrel monkey), 107 nucleotides long. The record is from Ensembl. NCBI's taxonomy places the organism in Eukaryota, Metazoa, Chordata, Mammalia, Primates, Cebidae.
GUGCUCACUUCAGCAGCACAUAUACUGAAAUUGGAACAUUACAGAGAAGAUUAGCAUGGCCCCUGCCCUAGGAUGAUAUGCAAAUUCAUGAAGUGUUCCCUUGAAAA